RNAcentral lists this small RNA (566 nucleotides) under Pongo abelii (Sumatran orangutan). Its description in RNAcentral is "retained intron". Lineage: Eukaryota; Metazoa; Chordata; Mammalia; Primates; Hominidae. The record is from RNAcentral.
AAGACUGGGUGCGGUGGCUUACACCUGUAAUCCCAGCACAUUGGGAGGCCGAGGUGGGCAGAUCACUUGAGGUCAGCCUGACCAACAUGGUGAAGCCCUGUCUCUACUAAUAAUACAAAAAUUAGCUGGGGGUGGUGGCACGCACCUGUAAUCCCAGCUACUUGGGAGGCUGAGGCAGGAGAAUCGCUGGAACCUGGGAGGCGGAGGUUGCGGUGAGUUGAGAUCAUGCCAUUGCACCCCAGCCCAGGCGACAAGAGCGAAACUCCAUCUCCAAAAAAAGAAACCCAAGUUCAUGUGAGGGCAGCACGCGAUGACUGGUCUGGGAAGAACUGGCCAUUCCUUGGGCCUCCUGGCCCCUUGGUGCUGUCUGGCCCAGUGUCCACAGUGCCAGGGCUGCAGUGACAGCUUUUUAUCAUUACAGGUGUAGGUGGAGCUUUUGCUGGAAUCCCAGGAGUUGGACCCUUUGCGGGACCGCAACCUGGAGUCCCACUGGGGUAUCCCAUCAAGGCCCCCAAGCUGCCUGGUGGCUAUGGACUGCCCUACACCACAGGGAAACUGCCCUAUGG